GUGGGGAAUCUUAGACAAUGGGCGCAAGCCUGAUCUAGCCAUGCCGCGUGAGCGAUGAAGGCCUUAGGGUUGUAAAGCUCUUUCAGUGGGGAAGAUAAUGACUGUACCCACAGAAGAAGCCCCGGCUAACUCCGUGCCAGCAGCCGCGGUAAUACGGAGGGGGCUAGCGUUGUUCGGAAUUACUGGGCGUAAAGCGCACGUAGGCGGACUGGAAAGUCAGGGGUGAAAUCCCGGGGCUCAACCCCGGAACUGCCUUUGAAACUCCCAGUCUUGAGGUCGAGAGAGGUGAGUGGAAUUCCGAGUGUAGAGGUGAAAUUCGUAGAUAUUCGGAGGAACACCAGUGGCGAAGGCGGCUCACUGGCUCGAUACUGACGCUGAUGCACGAAAGCGUGGGGAUCAAACAGGAUUAGAAACCCCAGUAGUCC
RNAcentral lists this ribosomal RNA (425 nucleotides) under uncultured bacterium. Its description in RNAcentral is "partial 16S ribosomal RNA". It matches the Rfam family "Bacterial small subunit ribosomal RNA", at positions 354 to 796 of the family's 1533-position model. The record is from RNAcentral.